Long non-coding RNA from Physella acuta, 419 nucleotides. RefSeq lists it as uncharacterized. The record is from RefSeq and is a predicted model, not a curated record. Lineage: Eukaryota; Metazoa; Mollusca; Gastropoda; Physidae.
UCGUAUGGUCCAGCUAAUUUGCAGGUUUGAUUUGAUCUAGCUACAGAUAUCCAUUGCUUUCGAUGUUAGGAUUGUUUUUUUUUUCAGAGGAACGGCGUUAGAUCUACUGUAUUUCUAUAACAACGUCCAAUAGUGUUGAUCAAAAGCUGCCUGAACCAUGCCUGAUUGGUCAGAGGUCAAGUCCCAGUUGACGGCCUUGACCUUCAAAAACGUGACGCUCUACAAGAGGUCAGUCAUGCUGUGCGUGCGGGAAAUAUUGGCCAUAGUUGCCGCAUUCUUCACUGUUGUUCUUCUAAUCAUGUCGGGAGCUGAAGACAAGCAAUCAGUGGAGUUCACACGACGGGAAAUUACUGACACGAAAACCUUCUUUUACUACGCUCCAAACACGUCGGACUUUAAUGAAAUGGUCUACAUCGGUA